UUUUCCGGUUGAUCCUGCCGGACCUGACUGCUAUCGGACUGAUACUAAGCCAUGCGAGUCAUUGUAGCAAUACAAGGCAGACGGCUCAGUAACGCGUAGUCAAUCUACCCUAUGGACGGGAAUAACCUCGGGAAACUGAGAAUAAUGCCCGGUAGAACAUUAUGCCUGGAAUGGUUUAUGUUUCAAAUGAUUUAUCGCCAUAGGAUGGGACUGCGGCCUAUCAGUUUGUUGGUGAGGUAAUGGCCCACCAAGACUAUUACAGGUACGGGCUCUGAGAGGAGUAGCCCGGAGAUGGGUACUGAGACACGGACCCAGGCCCUAUGGGGCGCAGCAGGCGAGAAAACUUUGCAAUGUGCGAAAGCACGACAAGGUUAAUCCGAGUGGUUUCUGCUAAAGAAACCUUUUGUCAGUCCUAGAAACACUAACGAAUAAGGGGUGGGCAAGUUCUGGUGUCAGCCGCCGCGGUAAAACCAGCACCUCAAGUGGUCAGGAUGAUUAUUGGGCCUAAAGCAUCCGUAGCUCGUUUUGUAAGUUUUCGGUUAAAUCCAUGCGCUUAACGUAUGGGCUGCCGGGAAUACUGCAUAACUAGGAAGUGGGGAGAGGUAGACGGUACUCGGGAGGAAGGGGGUAAAAUCCUUUGAUCUCUUGAUGACCACCUGUGGCGAAAGCGGUCUACCAGAACACGUUCGACGGUGAGGGAUGAAAGCUGGGGGAGCAAACCGGAUUAGAUACCCGGGUAGUCCCAGCUGUAAACUAUGCAAACUCAGUGAUGCAUUGGCUUAUGGCCAAUGCAGUGCUGCAGGGAAGCCGUUAAGUUUGCCGCCUGGGAAGUACGUACGCAAGUAUGAAACUUAAAGGAAUUGGCGGGGGAGCAC
RNAcentral lists this ribosomal RNA (875 nucleotides) under uncultured archaeon. RNAcentral describes it as "bacterial SSU rRNA". It matches the Rfam family "Archaeal small subunit ribosomal RNA", at positions 1 to 879 of the family's 1478-position model. The record is from RNAcentral.